This 73-nucleotide transfer RNA is filed under the name Ehrlichia sp. JZT12. RNAcentral's name for it is "tRNA-Lys". It matches the Rfam family "tRNA". Rfam says of the family: Transfer RNA (tRNA) molecules are approximately 80 nucleotides in length. Their secondary structure includes four short double-helical elements and three loops (D, anti-codon, and T loops). The record is from RNAcentral. Lineage: Bacteria; Pseudomonadati; Pseudomonadota; Alphaproteobacteria; Rickettsiales; Anaplasmataceae.
GGUCCUGUAGCUCAGCUGGUAGAGCACCUGACUCUUAAUCAGGUGGUCGUGUGUUCGAAUCACACCGGGAUCA